GAUUGGAUUAUUGAAUUCUCAGAAUGCUAUUGUCCAGGCAGAUCUGGUUACUUCCAUUUACUAGUCCGAAUGUUAUUUUAUUGACCAUGAAUCUUUACUUUUGUUGGCUUUCUUAGUCCGUCAUCUUAUUGAACUUUUAUUAGAUACAAAUGAUCUGGGAUCCCAAGCAACAAAUUGAGAUGGUGGGAGUUCCAGAAGAGCGUUUGGCUGGUCAUGCUUUCCAUAUGUAUCACCUCACCUCACCCGACCAAACAGUUUCUUUCGAGUUUCAGCAUCAUGUUUGUGGUAGAUCAAUAUAUGCCGAGGGUACUAUUGGUGCUGUAAUUUUCCUUUCUAAAAAGGUUCAUGAAAUUGCAAUGGUGUCAGCAAUUUAAGAAGCUCAGAAGAAUAACCUUAGAAGUUUCAAUGAUUACAUGAUGAAAGUUUUGGAGGAAGACUGGCAAAAACAAGAAGGUGAUUUCUUUAGCGCUUGAGUCGAAUUUCAACAUUACCCAAGACUAACGUGACUGAUACAAGCACAGGUGGAACUCUUUCGGGUCAAAUAGUGUCCAUGACUUCUAGUCCACAGAUUUCCUCUGGACCGUCUAGCAUGGAGCUUGUACCCUUAGCUAACAAGCCUGUCCUUGAGAAAAAAGCAACAGUUUGUGCUGAACAAUGCGAGAGACUGAGGAGUACCAUUUAAAAUGAAAACCAUUACAAAACUUGUAGAGAAAUUAGCAGCGAUGAAGUCUAUUUGGCUGACCAAGAUGAUGAUGAGGAAGAUUAAUUUAUGGGUUCUGUAUCCAAGUUACAACUCAGGAAAGAUAUUUCUAAGGCUCGUUGGAACGAUGAAUUAGGGAUGGCUGAGGUUGUGGAAAAGAAGGGUAAGGUGGUGGACAACAGCAGCAAGACGUUUUGCUCAAUUGAGGAGACUUCGUAGGUUUCUGGUUGAAGUUAGGGCAUUACUUCUGUUGGAUGAUAAAGAUUCUAGUCUUCCUUCAAAAUAUAUAUAUAUAUAUAUAUAUAUAUAUGCGAAGGUUGCAGAGGAGAAGACUGGAUGUUCUUUUUU
This is a long non-coding RNA of Pistacia vera, 1048 nucleotides long. RefSeq lists it as uncharacterized. NCBI's taxonomy places the organism in Eukaryota, Viridiplantae, Streptophyta, Magnoliopsida, Sapindales, Anacardiaceae. The record is from RefSeq and is a predicted model, not a curated record. The transcript has 7 exons.